UAGGAAGUUUCUCUGAACAAACGGAAGUUACAGAACAAGACGAGGAAUAAGAAAUGUACUGAAAAACUUUGGUAUAAGAUAUGACAACCGGAUCUUAGACUUUAACGCUUGAUGGCCCCUAGUAAAAUUUCACGGAAUCACCUAGGCAUCUGCUUUCGCUAUUUCCAAAGAAACCCGAUCAUGUUGGAAACAAAUAUUAUCCUCCCAGAUUCCCAUCACCUAAUAUCAUAUAUGUAUUAUAUAUUCAUAGCAUUAGAUUCACUCCACGUGCCCUGAGUGUGUCUCAACCCUUGCUGCCACACUUUUGCUCCCAUUGUUAGAUCUCCAUCUUCCUUCCCCAUGGUUUCCCCUAAAAUAUCAGAAACUUGUGUUGAACACAAGGUUGAAGAGGCUGAUCAUGAUAACUAUCAAAGGGCCAAGAGACUGCAACGAGCUCAAUGGCUUCGAGCAGCAAUUUUAGGUGCUAGUGAUGGUUUGCUCUCCACUACGUCACUAAUGCUUGGUGUAGGUGCAGCAGAAGAAGAUGGACAAUCCAUGAUUCUAUCUGGACUAGCUGGAGCUUUUGCAGGUGCCUGUAGUAUGGCUGUUGGGGAGUUUGUUUCUGUAUCAACCCAGAGAGAUAUUGAAAAGGCAAUUGCUUCUUACCGUAGUUCCAAAAAUAGUGAGCAUGAUGAUCUUGUGAGCAAGCUCGACAUCACCGCCACUCAGCCUAGCAAUGAGGAAGAAACCAAGCUCGGUGAGACUAACUUAGCUGUGAACACUUUGGAAAAUAUCCAGCGCGGCAAACUCAUCUGUGAACCGAUAGAGAAAGUGUCGCCAAGUGUAAUACUCGAGCCAACGCUGCCUUCUUCUAUAACUCCCGGGAGCUCUCCUAUGAUGAAAGUUCUUAAAAAAGAUGCAACUGGAAGUUCUGGUACAUCGUGUGAGGAUAGCAGAGAGGAGGUGCUGAUCACAAAUCCCUACAAGGCUGCAGCUGCCUCAGCUUUGGCUUUUCUCUGUGGGUCUUCUGUGCCGUUGGUGCCUGCCAUUCUUCUUACUCAAAAAGUUAUUAGGAUGGUGGUGAUUGCAGUCGUCACAUUAAUGGCAUUGGCUCUUUUUGGCAGCUUUGGAGCUUAUCUAGGUGGUUCACCAGUUAGGAUUUCUGCAGCAAGAGUCACGGCUGGUGGUUGGAUUGCCAUGGCAAUUACAUAUGGCUUGCUAAAGCCUUUCGACAGUGACGACAAGGGCAGUAAAGCCACAGAAUGAUUCCGGCAUCAGACCUGUAUGAAUCUUCACAACCUACUGUGGCCAAGGAA
RNAcentral lists this unclassified non-coding RNA (1295 nucleotides) under Hevea brasiliensis (rubber tree). The record is from RNAcentral. Lineage: Eukaryota; Viridiplantae; Streptophyta; Magnoliopsida; Malpighiales; Euphorbiaceae.